GUGGGGAAUUUUGGACAAUGGGGGCAACCCUGAUCCAGCCAUGCCGCGUGCGGGAAGAAGGCCUUCGGGUUGUAAACCGCUUUUGUCAGGGAAGAAAUCCUUUGGGUUAAUACCUCGGAGGGAUGACGGUACCUGAAGAAUAAGCACCGGCUAACUACGUGCCAGCAGCCGCGGUAAUACGUAGGGUGCGAGCGUUAAUCGGAAUUACUGGGCGUAAAGCGUGCGCAGGCGGUUUUGUAAGAUCGAUGUGAAAUCCCCGGGCUCAACCUGGGAACUGCAUUGGUGACGGCAAGGCUGGAGUGCGGCAGAGGGGGAUGGAAUUCCGCGUGUAGCAGUGAAAUGCGUAGAUAUGCGGAGGAACACCGAUGGCGAAGGCAAUCCCCUGGGCCUGCACUGACGCUCAUGCACGAAAGCGUGGGGAGCAAACAGGAUUAGAAACCCGGGUAGUCC
This 450-nucleotide ribosomal RNA is filed under the name uncultured bacterium. Its description in RNAcentral is "partial 16S ribosomal RNA". It matches the Rfam family "Bacterial small subunit ribosomal RNA", at positions 354 to 796 of the family's 1533-position model. The record is from RNAcentral.